GAUGAAGAACGCAGCGAAAUGCGAUAAUUAAUGUGAAUUGCAGAAUUCCGUGAAUCAUCGAGUCUUUGAACGCACAUUGCGCCCAUUAGUAUUCUAGUGGGCAUGCCUGUUCGAGCGUCAUUAAGUCCACUUAAGCCCUGCUUAGUGUUGGGAGACUGCUCCAGCGGUGCAACCCUGUAGCUACCCUGCAGCUCCUCAAAGACAGCGGCGGAGUUGUGGUAUCCUCUGAGCUUAGUAACUUGUUCUAGCUUUCGAGUACACCACUUCCCCUGCCGUAAAACCCUUAAUUUUUAAUGGUUGACCUCGGAUCAGGUAGGAAUACCCGCUGAACUUAAGCAUAUCAAUAAGCGGAGGA
This 355-nucleotide unclassified non-coding RNA is filed under the name soil metagenome. RNAcentral describes it as "partial contains 5.8S ribosomal RNA, internal transcribed spacer 2, and large subunit ribosomal RNA". The stretch from base 1 to 120 matches the Rfam family "5.8S ribosomal RNA", at positions 35 to 154 of the family's 154-position model. The record is from RNAcentral.